This 7696-nucleotide long non-coding RNA is filed under the name Brassica napus (rape). Its description in RNAcentral is "long non-coding RNA (BNAP_LNC010085)". Lineage: Eukaryota; Viridiplantae; Streptophyta; Magnoliopsida; Brassicales; Brassicaceae. The record is from RNAcentral.
GCUGACUGGUUCUAUUAUAUAGAAGGGACUGAUCCAUUUGGCUCUCCUUACUCCUGAGGCAUUACUUAAACCUGAUACAUUGAAACAAGACAAGUGAACACAAGCAAAAACAUCAUAGAGUAAGAGUCUUAUCCCAAAGUUGUAUUUUAUCGGUUUUGGCUUGUAUGCUGCAUCUGGAGGUUCUUCUUUGAUGAGGAUGAAGCAAGUGACGUCCUGUUGCCUCUCCUGGUUUAGAUCAGGCGGCUUGAAACGUUUGUCUUCCUCACGCUUGUUCUUUGUCUUUGCAUGCUUCAAAGCUUCCAUAUAAUCUGCACAUGACUCUUUUGACAAAAACAAGUGCAUCAUAUCUGUGUAAUCAAUAAAAGAACUCUUGAAAACAUGAUUGGUUACCUUAGCAUGCUCACCUGGUCGCCAUAUAUAGGAUUGAGAUGUUCUAUACUCAGAAAAAUUCAAACAAAGCAAACACAGAAUCACCCGUCUUGUAGAACCCAUAACUCUUUUAUUUGAGAAGCUUUGGUCAUGAUUCCAGUUCGACGUGAGACCCUGAUGAGUGUAGUUUCCAUUGCAGUUGAGUUUGUUGCUUAAUUCCUUCUGGUUGCUGAGAUAUGAUCCUCGGACUGCUCCUAUGUCAAAGUUGGCGGCUAGACAGCUUCCAAGAUUUGAUUGUUGCAUCUCCAAUUUAGCCAAGGAUCCAUUCUUGAUACUCUGAUCAUUACUAUAGCCUCGGGUUGGUUUAUUUGGAGAUUGAUGUAGACUGAGUCCAUCUGGUGGUUUCUCCUUGAUUUGAGAAGAAAACAUGAGUUCUCCUCCUAUUCCAGUAAUCACUUCACCAUUUAAUCUAGUGAAAUCUCCAUCUCCACUCUUGGUUUGACAAUCUCUGAAAUGGUAUUGAAGCUUUUGCAAAUCUGGUGGCUUCCACACCUUGACAUGAUCAAGAAGCAAGGCAUUUUGAUCAGCUUCCAACUCUUUAUUGCCCCAACUGGUUCUACUACGAGCAGAGCACUCUCCAAGGAUGAUAAGUAUGCUGGAAUAUGCUCCAGUUUUCCACAAGUAGAACUGUAACCUUCCACCCCAAUCUGAUAUAAGCAGCUCACAGAAUUUGGCUAAACCGAAAUGUUUGGCGGAAUUGACAAUAUCUUGAUGAUCAGGAGGCCAUUUGCUGCGUUUUCUGGUUUGUUGGAUCCAGGAGAGAGUGGGUAACAUUCUCCAAUUGGUUUCGUAGUGAAACUCUUGCUGAGCUGAGACGUGCAUCCCUUUAGCUUCAGAGGGUAAAAGAUCACCAAAAACAAUUGUUGUUGCUGCCGAUUUCUUCUCAAUCACUAUGGGAUUGUUCCUGUGAUUCCACAACUCUCCUCCAGGCUCAAAUACAACAUGUUCCAUGCCCAGUUGGUGUCUUGAAAGCUCUACUGCUCUGGUCUUGUUCCACACAAAAGGACUGAUGAGAAAAGUACCCAAGAAUGUCCUUUGGAAACCGUUUGAAUCAGUGACAAAUAGAUGCUCUACUCCACUGUCUGAUUUUGAUUCCAUGGGUGCCUCCUCUUCUAUUACAUCCUGUUUGAAGAGAAUCAGGUCGUCCUUGAUGGGUUGAUCAUCUUUCUGAAUGGUGAUUGUUGGAAUCUCGGUUUGAUCUUCUUGAACUAGUGCAGCCAAGUCUGAUUGUGCAACUGAGUCUGGUUCUGCAUCUUUGAGUUCUGAGACAGUUGAGGAAAGCGCUUGGUUCUGUACUUCUAAGGAUGGAGAUAUAGUCUUGGACUGUUUAAGUUGUUUCUCCACAUCCCUAAACGCUUGUGAAAUUGCCUUCCUUAUGCUAUCUUCAAAGGAAUGGGUUGAUGUUUUGCUUGAUGAAACCAGGUUACUAGAUGGACUUGAUCUCUUACUGUCUGGUUGUUUCUGAACUGAUAAUGAAGAACAUAGAUAUGUCUCAGGCUGCUUUUGAAUAACUUCCUUGUGGUACUGUCUUGGAACGUACUCUCUACGCAUCAAAGCCCUCAGCUUAAGCCAUGUUUCCACUGGUUCUUUUCCAUCAAGUCUUCUGCACUUUAUCAACUGAUUCCACCAUCUUAAAGCAUGACCACAAAACUCAGCAGUAGCCAUUUGAAUCUUCUUUCUUUCAGCAUAGUGUUGACUACUGAAAAUCAACUCAAUCUUCUUUUCCCACUUCACAUAAGCUUCAGGAGCCGCCUUGCCAUGGAAUGGAGGGAUUUGAAAUUCAUAUACAGCAUGCUUCCGGUUCCUGUCAAACUGAUCAAACUCUUUUUGCUUGUACUCAUCGCUGGUUGAUCUUGAGCAUUCUCUAUUUUUCUUUGGAUGAUGUUUUCCUUUGUGCUCCUUCUCCAUUGGUACCUGAGACACAAAUAAAACAGAAACCAGUAACUAGUUCUAAGAGAAACAACACUCAGAAUUAACAACAGAUCAAUUUUAAAACGACAAGCAAAUCAAAUAAAACAGUUUGAUAAUCAGAACAAUUCACCAACGCAAUAUGAUCGAUCAAUCUUAAACAGAGACAGAUUAAAUUCGAAAUCUAAUCAACCAAACAAGAUAGAUUAUAUUCAAAGCAAUAAGAACAGAUCGGAAUCACACAAAUCCAAAACAGAAACAGAUCAAGCAAAUCGAUUACUUCUGCAACAAGAAUGUGAAAAGUUUUUUUAUCAAUAACGAGAUCAACAAGCUUGAAUCUAAUUAAAACUCAACAACACAAUCAUAGAUCAAUCAAAACUAGUGAGAAUAAGAAUAGAUCGACAGGUUUUUAGCAAAAACAAACGGAUUUAUCAGAUUUAAACGCCAAGAACACAGAUCAGAUCAAACUCGACAGAAUAUGAACAGACCCAAACGAAAAUCAGAGAGAAAAAUCAAACACUUCCCUUCCAGAGUUGCUCUGAUACCACUUGAUGAGAUCCUAGGAUGAUGCUCUGGAACAGAUGGGAUAAUCCUUGCAGAAACGAAUCAAAAGACUCAAGCUUCUCAAGGUAUGUGGAUCGAAUGGUGACACAAGAGGCUGCGGAAAUGCUUCUUGAUACUCCUAGGCUUAGAUCGGAUAUGACACACCUCUCUAAAGCCCUUGGGCGUUGGAUAUUACACACCAACAGACUGGAUAUUACACACCAGACACACUUCAACUCGUCCAAGACAAGAGAGAAGAGAGAAAAGGGUUUUUGAUAAAAGAUUGCUUAAUCAUAAAAGAAGAUGGCUACAAGCUUAUAUAGAGAAGGCUGGAACAGGCUCCACUUCUCGAAUUCAUUAAAGGGAACAGGCUCCCUUGGUAAUCUAAAAACAAGACUAAGACUUAUUCAAAUUUUAAAAGAGUUUCGAAAACUAAAUAACAUAUAAGCAUAGCUUAAAAUAUAAGAUAAGGUCUUCAUGUGGACAGACCAAGAUCAAUCAUCUAGGAGAUAGGAGAAGUAGACUUGUGGCCUCGUUAAAAACCUUCCUUUGGAAAACCUAGUGGGACAAAACCAAAGGUUAGGAAAAGAGCACACACAAGCUACUUGCCUAGAUGAUGAUCAGCUUGAAGGUGGAGUAGCUUGAAUGAUGGUUAAGGUGUCUUGGAUGAUCAAGCUUCGGCCAAGACUAAUAUAUUCUUCUUGUUUCCAAAUGUUCUUCAAGGUUGCAUCCUCAGCUACAAGCUCUUCAGGUUCAGGUUCAUGCUUCCAGCCCUUGGUGCUUUCCAUGAUCAUAUCAUCCCCUCCCACUUCAAAAAGAUUUGUCCUCAAAUCUGUGUUACCUGCAAUAGAAGGGACCAAGUCAGUAACAUCAGAGUUUAUAAUCAGAUUACACUUACCUUGCAAGCCUCUUUGAUAGGCAUUAUCGCUGACUGGUUCUAUUAUAUAGAAGGGACUGAUCCAUUUGGCUCUCCUUACUCCUGAGGCAUUACUUAAACCUGAUACAUUGAAACAAGACAAGUGAACACAAGCAAAAACAUCAUAGAGUAAGAGUCUUAUCCCAAAGUUGUAUUUUAUCGGUUUUGGCUUGUAUGCUGCAUCUGGAGGUUCUUCUUUGAUGAGGAUGAAGCAAGUGACGUCCUGUUGCCUCUCCUGGUUUAGAUCAGGCGGCUUGAAACGUUUGUCUUCCUCACGCUUGUUCUUUGUCUUUGCAUGCUUCAAAGCUUCCAUAUAAUCUGCACAUGACUCUUUUGACAAAAACAAGUGCAUCAUAUCUGUGUAAUCAAUAAAAGAACUCUUGAAAACAUGAUUGGUUACCUUAGCAUGCUCACCUGGUCGCCAUAUAUAGGAUUGAGAUGUUCUAUACUCAGAAAAAUUCAAACAAAGCAAACACAGAAUCACCCGUCUUGUAGAACCCAUAACUCUUUUAUUUGAGAAGCUUUGGUCAUGAUUCCAGUUCGACGUGAGACCCUGAUGAGUGUAGUUUCCAUUGCAGUUGAGUUUGUUGCUUAAUUCCUUCUGGUUGCUGAGAUAUGAUCCUCGGACUGCUCCUAUGUCAAAGUUGGCGGCUAGACAGCUUCCAAGAUUUGAUUGUUGCAUCUCCAAUUUAGCCAAGGAUCCAUUCUUGAUACUCUGAUCAUUACUAUAGCCUCGGGUUGGUUUAUUUGGAGAUUGAUGUAGACUGAGUCCAUCUGGUGGUUUCUCCUUGAUUUGAGAAGAAAACAUGAGUUCUCCUCCUAUUCCAGUAAUCACUUCACCAUUUAAUCUAGUGAAAUCUCCAUCUCCACUCUUGGUUUGACAAUCUCUGAAAUGGUAUUGAAGCUUUUGCAAAUCUGGUGGCUUCCACACCUUGACAUGAUCAAGAAGCAAGGCAUUUUGAUCAGCUUCCAACUCUUUAUUGCCCCAACUGGUUCUACUACGAGCAGAGCACUCUCCAAGGAUGAUAAGUAUGCUGGAAUAUGCUCCAGUUUUCCACAAGUAGAACUGUAACCUUCCACCCCAAUCUGAUAUAAGCAGCUCACAGAAUUUGGCUAAACCGAAAUGUUUGGCGGAAUUGACAAUAUCUUGAUGAUCAGGAGGCCAUUUGCUGCGUUUUCUGGUUUGUUGGAUCCAGGAAAUAGUGGGUAACAUUCUCCAAUUGGUUUCGUAGUGAAACUCUUGCUGAGCUGAGACGUGCAUCCCUUUAGCUUCAGAGGGUAAAAGAUCACCAAAAACAAUUGUUGUUGCUGCCGAUUUCUUCUCAAUCACUAUGGGAUUGUUCCUGUGAUUCCACAACUCUCCUCCAGGCUCAAAUACAACAUGUUCCAUGCCCAGUUGGUGUCUUGAAAGCUCUACUGCUCUGGUCUUGUUCCACACAAAAGGACUGAUGAGAAAAGUACCCAAGAAUGUCCUUUGGAAACCGUUUGAAUCAGUGACAAAUAGAUGCUCUACUCCACUGUCUGAUUUUGAUUCCAUGGGUGCCUCCUCUUCUAUUACAUCCUGUUUGAAGAGAAUCAGGUCGUCCUUGAUGGGUUGAUCAUCUUUCUGAAUGGUGAUUGUUGGAAUCUCGGUUUGAUCUUCUUGAACUAGUGCAGCCAAGUCUGAUUGUGCAACUGAGUCUGGUUCUGCAUCUUUGAGUUCUGAGACAGUUGAGGAAAGCGCUUGGUUCUGUACUUCUAAGGAUGGAGAUAUAGUCUUGGACUGUUUAAGUUGUUUCUCCACAUCCCUAAACGCUUGUGAAAUUGCCUUCCUUAUGCUAUCUUCAAAGGAAUGGGUUGAUGUUUUGCUUGAUGAAACCAGGUUACUAGAUGGACUUGAUCUCUUACUGUCUGGUUGUUUCUGAACUGAUAAUGAAGAACAUAGAUAUGUCUCAGGCUGCUUUUGAAUAACUUCCUUGUGGUACUGUCUUGGAACGUACUCUCUACGCAUCAAAGCCCUCAGCUUAAGCCAUGUUUCCACUGGUUCUUUUCCAUCAAGUCUUCUGCACUUUAUCAACUGAUUCCACCAUCUUAAAGCAUGACCCAAAAACACUGAUUCCACCAUCUUAAAGCAUGACCACAAAACUCAGCAGUAGCCAUUUGAAUCUUCUUUCUUUCAGCAUAGUGUUGACUACUGAAAAUCAACUCAAUCUUCUUUUCCCACUUCACAUAAGCUUCAGGAGCCGCCUUGCCAUGGAAUGGAGGGAUUUGAAAUUCAUAUACAGCAUGCUUCCGGUUCCUGUCAAACUGAUCAAACUCUUUUUGCUUGUACUCAUCUCUGGUUGAUCUUGAGCAUUCUCUAUUUUUCUUUGGAUGAUGUUUUCCUUUGUGCUCCUUCUCCAUUGGUACCUGAGACACAAAUAAAACAGAAACCAGUAACUAGUUCUAAGAGAAACAACACUCAGAAUUAACAACAGAUCAAUUUUAAAACGACAAGCAAAUCAAAUAAAACAGUCUGAUAAUCAGAACAAUUCACCAACGCAAUAUGAUCGAUCAAUCUUAAACAGAGACAGAUUAAAUUCGAAAUCUAAUCAACCAAACAAGAUAGAUUAUAUUCAAAGCAAUAAGAACAGAUCGGAAUCACACAAAUCCAAAACAGAAACAGAUCAAGCAAAUCGAUUACUUCUGCAACAAGAAUGUGAAAAGUUUUUAUCAGAAACGAGAUCAACAAGCUUGAAUCUUAUUAAAACUCAACAACACAAUCAUAGAUCAAUCAAAACUAGUGAGAAUAAGAAUAGAUCGACAGGUUUUUAGCAAACACAAACGGAUUUAUCAGAUUUAAACGCNNNNNNNNNNNNNNNNNNNNNNNNNNNNNNNNNNNNNNNNNNNNNNNNNNNNNNNNNNNNNNNNNNNNNNNNNNNNNNNNNNNNNNNNNNNNNNNNNNNNNNNNNNNNNNNNNNNNNNNNNNNNNNNNNNNNNNNNNNNNNNNNNNNNNNNNNNNNNNNNNNNNNNNNNNNNNNNNNNNNNNNNNNNNNNNNNNNNNNNNNNNNNNNNNNNNNNNNNNNNNNNNNNNNNNNNUCCUUGGUGCUUUCCAUGAUCACAUCAUCCCCUCCCACUUCAAAAAGAUUUGUCCUCAAAUCUGUGUUACCUGCAAUAGAAGGGACCAAGUCAGUAACAUCAGAGUUUAUAAUCAGAUUACACUUACCUUGCAAGCCUCUUUGAUAGGCAUUGUCGCUGACUGGUUCUAUUAGGUAGAAGGGACUGAUCCAUUUGGCUUUCCUCACUCCUGAGGCAUUACUUAAACCUGAUACUUUGAAACAAGACAAGUUAACACAAGCAAAAUCAUCAUAGAGCAAGAUUCUUAUCCCAAAGUUAUAUUUUCUCGGUUUUGGCUUGUAUGUUGCAUCUGGAGGUGCUUCUUUGAUGAGGAUGAAGCAAGUGACGUCCUGAUGUCUCUCCUGGCUUAGAUCAGGCGGCUUGAAACGUUUGUCUUCCUCACGCUUGUUCUUUGUCUUUGCAUGCUUCAAAGCUUCCAUAUAAUCUGCACAUGACUCUUUUGACAAAAACAAGUGCAUCAUAUCUGUGUAAUCAAUAAAGGAACUCUUGAAAACAUGAUUGGUUACCUUAGCAUGCUCACCUGGUCGCCAUAUAUAGGAUUGAGAUGUUCUAUACUCAGAAAAAUUCAAACAAAGCAAACACAGAAUCACCCGUCUUGUAGAACCCAUAACUCUUUCAUUUGAGUAGCUUUGGACAUGAUUCCAGUUCGACGUGAGACCCUGAUGAGUGUAGUUUCCAUUGCAGUUGAGUUUGAUGCUUAAUUCCUUCUGGUUGCUGAGAUAUGAUCCUCGGACUGCUCCUAUGUCAAGGUUGACGGCUAGACAGCUUCCAAGAUUUGAUUGUUGCAUCUCCAACUUAGCCAAG